GGUGUUUGGUAUGAAUAUCUCUCUAGUGUGUAAACCUCUCUAUCCAGGGUGUUUGGUAUGAAUAUCUCUCUAGUGUGUAAACACCUCUAUCCAGGGUGUUUGGUAUGAAUAUCUCUCUAGUGUGUAAACCUCUCUAUCCAGGGUGUUUGGUAUGAAUAUCUCUCUAGUGUGUUAACCUCUCUAUCCAGGGUGUUUGGUAUGAAUAUCUCUCUAGUGUGUAAACCUCUCUAUCCAGGGUGUUUGGUAUGAAUAUCUCUCUAGUGUGUAAACCUCUCUAUCCAGGGUGUUUGGUAUGAAUAUCUCUCUAGUGUGUAAACCUCUCUAUCCAGGGUGUUUGGUAUGAAUAUCUCUCUAGUGUGUAAACCUCUCUAUCCAGGGUGUUUGGUAUGAAUAUCUCUCUAGAGUGUUAACCUCUCUAUCCAGGGUGUUUGGUAUGAAAAAUGUGUAGUUGCAUUACUUUAAAUGAUAGGUGUGUACAAUCGUGUUACUCUGGUUGCAUAAAUUGUUGUUUUCACAUAAAUCCGUACGUAAUUCACCACGGCUGUCCACAUCUCGUGUUACUCUGGUUGUGUAAAUGGCUGUUUUCACAUAACUCUGUACCUAAUUCACCACGGCUGUGCACAUCUUGUCUGUUCCGAACAAAGUCUCUCCUCAUCCUCUAUUCUAAGAACCAACAGUUCUUGGGUCUCGUAAGAGAACACAGAGGAUUCUGACUAGUUGGCCACCUCAUCCACUAGAUAUGUGUUGGUUCGACACAUUGAGUCAGUUGUGGUGGAACCAGCCAUGACUAAGCAUUAAUAGGUUUACUAUAUGAGACCUCUGUUGGUUUCUGUAUGUCAGAGCUCUUGGCCCAACACUCAAGAGUGUGGGGUCGACCAGCCUCAUUAUUGCAGGGCUCUCAACGAAUCACUUAUGGGUGCAGUGAUUCAGGGCAGGUGGAGCUGUUAUGAGCCCCAAAUCUUUACCAACAUAAAUCAAAUCCCACCCAAAAAUGGUGGCUUGCUUGUUUUGCAUGUUAUUUUGGCAUUAAUAUGUGACACAUAUCAGUUUGCAAACAAUGUAAUUUUUUAUAAUAUAUGUAUCAUUGAAUUAAUAAAGCUCUAUAGAAACAUGGUUGCUUGUUUGAUUUCUUGAGUAAGGCAACUCACAAAAAGCAGGUGUUUCAGCCCAGCUCAGUGCUUUUUAGUGGUGGUGGGGCAAGCCAGCAGAAAAUACAAGCGUUGCGCCUUGAUUGACUCAGUGUUCUGUCACCCAUUGGUGAAACUACGUCACCUCCAAGUCUAAGGGGAGA
Molecule: long non-coding RNA, 1291 nt
Organism: Oncorhynchus tshawytscha (Chinook salmon)
Lineage: Eukaryota; Metazoa; Chordata; Actinopteri; Salmoniformes; Salmonidae
Source: Ensembl